Molecule: unclassified non-coding RNA, 266 nt
Filed under: Hevea brasiliensis (rubber tree)
Lineage: Eukaryota; Viridiplantae; Streptophyta; Magnoliopsida; Malpighiales; Euphorbiaceae
Source: RNAcentral
GGAGAAGAAGAAGAAGAAGAAAUUAUGGAGAAACUGAAACUGUAAGGAAUUAUUAUAAAUCAAUCAAAUGCCAAGAUCUUCUUCAAUCAACAUACAAUUCGUUCUCUCUGUCUCUCUCCAGACAUUAAAAUCUAAAAAUUUUUAUUUUCUGAAUUAUGAAUUAAAUAUAAUAAAAUAAAUGGAAUUGUUCUUUCUUGACUUCCAGGCUUCUUCCUUUCUCUUCUGUUCUGCUUUCUGUUUCUCUCUUUCUCUCACAUUUUCCAAUU